AACGAACGCUGGCGGCAGGCUUAACACAUGCAAGUCGAACGAGAUCUUCGGAUCUAGUGGCAGACGGGUGAGGAACACGUGGGAACAUCCCUCUCAGUUCGGAAUAACGUUGGAAACUAACGCUAAUACCGGAUACGUCCUUCGGGAGAAAGAUUUAUCGCUGAAAGAUUGGCCCGCGUGUGAUUAGCUAGUUGGUGAGGUAAUGGCUCACCAAGGCUACGAUCAGUAGCUGAUCUGAGAGGAUGAUCAGCCACAUUGGGACUGAGACACGGCCCAAACUCCUACGGGAGGCAGCAGUGGGGAAUAUUGGACAAUGGGCGCAAGUCUGAUCCAGCCAUGCCGCGUGAGUGAUGACGGCCUUCGGGUUGUAAAGCUCUUUUGUCCGGGAAGAUAAUGACUGUACCGGAAGAAUAAGCCCCGGCAAACUUCGUGCCAGCAGCCGCGGUAA
RNAcentral lists this ribosomal RNA (448 nucleotides) under uncultured bacterium. Its description in RNAcentral is "partial 16S ribosomal RNA". It matches the Rfam family "Bacterial small subunit ribosomal RNA", at positions 29 to 523 of the family's 1533-position model. The record is from RNAcentral.